Molecule: unclassified non-coding RNA, 2055 nt
Filed under: uncultured fungus
Lineage: Eukaryota; Fungi
Description: sequence contains 18S rRNA gene, ITS1, 5.8S rRNA gene, ITS2, 28S rRNA gene
Rfam family: Eukaryotic large subunit ribosomal RNA (bases 984-2055)
Source: RNAcentral
GGAAGGAUCAUUAACACGUAUCCAACGUUAAACCCCCCCGUGAACCUACAUUUUCCUUCUCCGCUUACAGAAAAUUGGUUGCAAUCCCUGGUAAAUCAUCGCCGAACAGUUUUGAUUCAGGGACUUCUAACACGUAAGUGUCCCAUUCAGAGGAUAGUAGCUGAUGGGUUCGACUAUCCCAAGGUGUUGAGUGCUUUCAAUGUGCAGAGAGAGAGAUAAUCAGGGGGUUGUGAAAGUGUUCAACCUGAUUGUUUUUGUCUUUGUAAGGAGAAAGUGUCACGAGAUGCUGUAAGAUAGACCGCUUUAAUCAGCGGGUUACCAGGAGGCCGACACGGCCGGUAAUCGGAUUCUGGGCGUCGUUCCUAUAGGAACGAGCAUACGUCCCGCUUGUCCCCUUGAAACGACAGGGUUGACUUGUACAACGUAAAGCAUGUUAAUAAAGCCCGCACCCUAACGGGAGCCGGUGUUAAACUGAACAACUGUUAACAAUGGAUAUCUUGGUUCUCGCAACGAUGAAGAACGCAGCGAAAUGCGAUACGUAAUGCGAAUUGCAGAAUUCAGUGAAUCAUCGAAUCUUUGAACGCAAAUUGCGCUCUCGGGUUACCCCCAAGAGCACACCUCUCUGAGUGUCGGUUUAACCAAAUGUCACCAAUUUAUUGGUGUACGACAGACUGAGGGUAAGGGGCCGAGAGGCUUCUUUCCUUUUAAAUUUCAGCAACACAGAUGUGUGUGUUUGUGGCAAGUUGCUUUCACUUAACUGUGAAUCCAAUCCAUGAGCCCUAUUUGUGGAGCCCAAAGAAACAAAUGAACAAGGGUGUGAACUUAGAAUUAUGCUUUUACAGUGAACGGGAGGAAUACGCAGGUGAGAUAGAUAAUCAGGGGGUUGUGAAAGUGUUCAACCUGGUUGUUUGACUCCUUGUUUGUUCAGCCUGGUUGCUGUUGAAGUGUGAUUUUGGGGGAACGGCUUUGUGCAUCUAUGAAUUAGACCUCAGAUGAAGUGGGAAGACCCCCUGAAUUUAAGCAUAUUAUUAAGGGGAGGAAAAGAAACUAACAAGGAUUCCCCCAGUAACGGCGAGUGAAGCGGGAAGAGCUCAAAUUUAAAAUCCACUGGUCUAACAGCCUGUGGAGUUGUAAUCUAGAGAGGCUCUCUCAGUGCCAGCCUGGUUAUAAGUCCCUUGAAACGGGGCAUCAAAGAGGGUGAGAAUCCCGUAUUUGAGCCGGAGCUAAGUACGUACGAGGAGUUUUCUAAGAGUCGCGUUGCUUGGGAGUGCAGCGCUAAAUGGGUGGUAAAGUUCAUCUAAAGCUAAAUACUGGCGAGAGACCGAUAGCGAACAAGUACCGUGAGGGAAAGAUGAAAAGAACUUUGAAAAGAGAGUUAAAAAGUACUUGAAAUUGUUAACAGGGAAGGGGAGUCAACCAGUCAUAAUUAAGCUUCAUUCGCUUCGCCUUCGGGAGGGGUUACUUGAGGCUAAAUUGGGUCAGCAUCACUUAGGGUCUUCGGAGAAAAUGUGUGAGCUGGUGCGUUUCUUCGGAUUCGUUUAGCUUGUGCAAUCUUACGUUGGCGCUGGGUGUGGAGUGAUAACCCCCCACCUUCGGGUGUCGGUUCUCUGGGGCCUGUUUGCUCUAGCGCGUGAGAGAACAAAGUUCUGUCUGUGCGAAAGGUGAAUACUGCCUCGGAUGAGCUAGAUGGUGUGGUUCGCGAUGCAGACGAAAUGGUUGUCUUCCACCCGUCUUGAAACACGGACCAAGGAGUCUAACAUAUAUGCGAGUAUUUGGGUGACAAACCCUGAUGCGUAAUGAAAGUAAAGAGCUGCAAAGCUUGAGGUAGGAAUCUCGCCCUCGGGUGGGAGGCACUAUCGACCGAUCGUUCGCUUGCGGAAGAUUUGAGUAAUAGCAUAUCUGUUGGGACCCGAAAGAUGGUGAUCUAUGCCUGAACAGGGUGAAGCCAGGGGAAACUCUGGUGGAAGCUCGUAGCGAUACUGACGUGCAAAUCGUUCGUCUGAUUUGGGUAUAGGGGCGAAAGACUAAUCGAACCAUCUAGUAGCUGGUUCCCUC